RNAcentral lists this transfer RNA (86 nucleotides) under bovine gut metagenome. It matches the Rfam family "tRNA". From Rfam's summary of the family: Transfer RNA (tRNA) molecules are approximately 80 nucleotides in length. The record is from RNAcentral.
GAGAGGUGGCCGAGUGGUCGAAGGCGCGGCACUGGAAAUGCCGUGUACCACACCUUGGUACCGUGGGUUCAAAUCCCACCCUCUCC